Molecule: ribosomal RNA, 253 nt
Filed under: uncultured bacterium
Lineage: Bacteria
Description: partial 16S ribosomal RNA
Rfam family: Bacterial small subunit ribosomal RNA
Source: RNAcentral
UACAGGGGGGGCAAGCGUUGUUCGGAAUUACUGGGCGUAAAGGGCUCGUAGGUGGCCAACUAAGUCAGACGUGAAAUCCCUCAGCUUAACUGGGGAACUGCGUCUGAUACUGGAUGGCUUGAGUUUGGGAGAGGGAUGCGGAAUUCCAGGUGUAGCGGUGAAAUGCGCAGAUAUCAGGAGGAACACCGAUUACGAAGGCAGCUCGCUGGGACGUUACUGACGCUGAGACGCGAAAGCGUGGGGAGCAAACAGG